UGGUCGGGAUAGCUCAGCUGAGUAGAGC
RNAcentral lists this transfer RNA (28 nucleotides) under Columnea sanguinea. RNAcentral's name for it is "partial transfer RNA-Phe". The record is from RNAcentral. Lineage: Eukaryota; Viridiplantae; Streptophyta; Magnoliopsida; Lamiales; Gesneriaceae.